This 117-nucleotide ribosomal RNA is filed under the name Eubacteriales bacterium. The record is from RNAcentral. Lineage: Bacteria; Bacillati; Bacillota; Clostridia; Eubacteriales.
GUUGGUGCUUUUAACGAUGAGGGUCCACCUGUUCCCAUUCCGAACACAGAAGUUAAGCUCAUCAGUGCCGAAAAUACUUGUCUGGCGACGGACUGGGAAGAUAGGUCAGUGCCAACU